Non-coding RNA from Chelonoidis abingdonii (Abingdon island giant tortoise), 84 nucleotides. The record is from RefSeq and is a predicted model, not a curated record. Lineage: Eukaryota; Metazoa; Chordata; Testudines; Testudinidae.
UGUUAGCUUUUUCCACAGGAGAGUGCUCCUGCCGGCAAAGAGCUGUUCACACCGGUGCUUGUCAUCUGCAAAACUUUCGUCUUU